GACGAACGCUGGCGGCGUGCUUAACACAUGCAAGUCGAACGGUGAAGCGCCUUCCUUUUUGGUGGGUGUGGAUGAGUGGCGAACGGGUGAGUAACACGUGAGUAACCUGCCCCCUUCUUCUGGAUAACCGCAUGAAAGUGUGGCUAAUACGGGAUAUUCUGGGUCUGUCGCAUGAUGGGUCUGGGAAAGAUAUUGUUUCGGUGGGGGAUGGGCUCGCGGCCUAUCAGCUUGUUGGUGGGGUGAUGGCCUACCAAGGCGGUGACGGGUAGCCGGCCUGGGAGGGUUGACGGUCACACUGGGACUGAGACACGGCCCAGACUCCUACGGGAGGCAGCAGUGGGGAAUAUUGCACAAUGGGCGCAAGCCUGAUGCAGCGACGCCGCGUGAGGGAUGGAGGCCUGCGGGUUGUGAACCUCUUUCGCCAGUGAAGCAGGCCUGCCUCGUUUGUGGGUGGGUUGACGGUAGCUGGAUAAGAAGCGCCGGCUAACUACGUG
This 494-nucleotide ribosomal RNA is filed under the name uncultured bacterium. RNAcentral describes it as "partial 16S ribosomal RNA". It matches the Rfam family "Bacterial small subunit ribosomal RNA", at positions 28 to 507 of the family's 1533-position model. The record is from RNAcentral.